ACUUUCCUAGUAUAUCCCAGUACGGCUGACUUCCAAUCACCUAGUCUCAGUUUUAAGUCUGAGGGAGAGUA
Molecule: transfer RNA, 71 nt
Filed under: Echinosciurus colliaei (Collie's squirrel)
Lineage: Eukaryota; Metazoa; Chordata; Mammalia; Rodentia; Sciuridae
Description: tRNA-Gly
Source: RNAcentral